UACGUAGGGGGCAAGCGUUGUCCGGAUUUAUUGGGCGUAAAGAGCGUGUAGGCGGUUUGGUAGGUCCGCUGUGAAAACUCGAGGCUCAACCUCGAGACGCCGGUGGAAACCAUCAGACUAGAGUCCGGAAGAGGAGAGUGGAAUUCCUGGUGUAGCGGUGAAAUGCGCAGAUAUCAGGAAGAACACCCGUGGCUAAGGCGGCUCGCUGGGACGGUACUGACGCUAAGGCGCGAAAGCGUGGGGAGCGAACAGG
This 253-nucleotide ribosomal RNA is filed under the name uncultured bacterium. Its description in RNAcentral is "partial 16S ribosomal RNA". It matches the Rfam family "Bacterial small subunit ribosomal RNA", at positions 524 to 776 of the family's 1533-position model. The record is from RNAcentral.